Molecule: non-coding RNA, 541 nt
Organism: Anas platyrhynchos (mallard)
Lineage: Eukaryota; Metazoa; Chordata; Aves; Anseriformes; Anatidae
Source: RefSeq, a predicted model, not a curated record
UGAAGUCAAGCCGCAGGAGCGGAGCGCUUUCUCGAGGCGUUUUUAAAUAGGAGCGAAAGCAGCAGCGGGGAGGUCGGGUAAAAAAAAGCAGCAUAAAUAUACAGCCAAACUUUGGGCGAGCGGACAGAGCAGACAAAGGAUAGGAAACGCGGACAGGAAAAGGCUGUAGAAGAAGAGGAGAGUGUCACAGUGUGAUGCUACUCCUCCUAAAGCAAUUGGAGCCCAGUGUGUUUUCAGUACAGGACAUCUCCCUCUGCUGUGCUUCUGCCCUCACCCACCCCAUCUCAGGUGCUGUAGCAGCGAGGCCACAGUGGUUUCAGCUGUCCAGCAAGCAAAGCAGCAACAGAGAGCAAAGCUCAACAGAGAGCAGACUGAGAACCCAUCGGAAACCUCUUGGGCCCCGGGCUUGCUAACCCAGAAUAACACUUUAAGAACUUUGCAACAUUCAAAAGAAGAGAAAAUAAACCCUGUGCAGCUAUUUAAAUUUAUAUUUCUUAGUCUUCUUUGGAGAAGAAAAUAAAUGCAAGAAAAAUAUAAUCUU